Long non-coding RNA from Carya illinoinensis, 886 nucleotides. RefSeq lists it as uncharacterized. The record is from RefSeq and is a predicted model, not a curated record. The transcript has 2 exons. Lineage: Eukaryota; Viridiplantae; Streptophyta; Magnoliopsida; Fagales; Juglandaceae.
AGAAAUGCCUGGCAGUCAGACUGCACGCAUGAGGGACAUCUUACUAAAGGCACCCAAAGCCUCCAUCCUGAACUCCAUAAUUUGUAAGAUUCAUGUUCUCUGCAUGGCUCAACACUCUGGCUUUCCAAAACGAACCAAUUCAGUGAAGGAUAGAAAACCUUGUGAGCAGUACCGUUGGGCUCACCCAUUUUCAUGUGACUUCCCUUCACCGUAUUAUACGUGCGGCGGCCUGUGAUACACUUCAAUUCCUUCUCUUUUUGUCGCGCCCCCCUUUUAAAUACCAUCAAUCUCUCACGACCUAUAUACCUCGCUCAUCGAUCUCGAUCUUUCUAUAUCCAACCGGGAAGCCAAGGCCAUGAGAAUUUCCAUCUUUUUCGCAGUACUAGUACUACUACUCGUUUCAUUUCCAGCCAACAUGAUUGCCAGGCACAUCGGCCGCUGGGCUUGGGAGCAGUCAUAUAAUGGCCACCAUCACGAAGGGGAAGAUACAACAUCGGCAAUUAGCACAGACAUAUUGCCACCAAUGGACAGCGGUGAAGGGCAAAGGGAAGUGAAAAGAGGCCACUUACUCCAAGUCGAAGUUGCUGGCUCAAGGUUACCCGAUUGCACGCAUGCUUGUGGCUCCUGUUCACCUUGUCGGUUGGUCAUGGUUAGCUUCGCAUGCGUCACGCUCACUGGGGCAGAGACGUGCCCUAUAUCAUAUAAGUGUAUGUGUAACAAUAAGUCUUAUCCAGUUCCCUAAUCAGUAAUCACCUCUCUCUCUCUCUCUCUCUCUCUCUCUCUCUCUCAUAUUGUAUGUAGUGUUAGUCAGCUUCAAGUAGCUAGAGAUUAGUUGCUUCGACAUGUGUUAAUUCAAUAUAUAGUACUAUUUUCACGGUUCUGGUAA